GGUUCGGGCUCUGCUUGCGCAGGAUAGGUGGGAGGCUAAGAGACAUUCCUUGUGGGGGAUGAGGAGCCGUCAGUGAGAUACCACUCUAGCAGGGCUAGAAUUCUAACCAAAGGGACAGUGUCAGGUGGGCAGUUUGACUGGGGCGGUCGCCUCCUAAAUGGUAACGGAGGCGCGCAAAGGUUCCCUCAGGCUGGUUGGAAAUCAGCCGAAGAGUGUAAAGGCAGAAGGGAGCUUGACUGUGAGACCAACAAGUCGAGCAGGGACGAAAGUCGGUCUUAGUGAUCCGACGGCACUGAGUGGAAGGGCCGUCGCUCAACGGAUAAAAGUUACUCUAGGGAAAACAGGCUGA
RNAcentral lists this ribosomal RNA (349 nucleotides) under Oscillatoriales cyanobacterium BAPS-52-2. RNAcentral describes it as "partial 16S ribosomal RNA". It matches the Rfam family "Bacterial large subunit ribosomal RNA", at positions 2120 to 2485 of the family's 2925-position model. Lineage: Bacteria; Bacillati; Cyanobacteriota; Cyanophyceae; Oscillatoriales. The record is from RNAcentral.